AAAACAUGGUCUUUUGUUUAUAUAAAAGAUCUGGCCUGCCCAAUGAUAUUAAUUUAAUGGCUGCAGUAUUUUGACUGUACAAAGGUAGCAUAAUCAUUUGUCUUUUGAUUGGAGUCUGGAAUGAAUGGUUAGAUGAAAGAUUUACUUUCUUUAUUUUAAAAUUAAAAAUUAAUUUUUAAAUCAAAAAGUUUAACUGAUAAUAAAGGACGAGAAGACCCUAUAGAACUUUAUUUAUAUAUAAAUUAUUUAUUAAUUUGUUAAUUAUUAAUAUAUAUCUUUUUAUAAAUUGUGUUGGGGUGACAAAAAAAAUAUUUUAACUUUUUUUAAUUAAAACAUUUAUUUAUGUAUUUUGAUCCUUUAAUAUGGAAUAUAAGAUUAAGUUACCUUAGGGAUAACAGCGUUAUUAUUUUGGAGAGUUCUUAUCAAUAAAAUAGUUUGCGACCUCGAUGUUGGAUUAAAAUUAGCUCUAGGAGUAGAAGAUUAGUGGCUAAGUCUGUUCGACUUUUAAAUUUUUACAUGAUCU
Molecule: ribosomal RNA, 523 nt
Filed under: Eremotylus sp. Msp048
Lineage: Eukaryota; Metazoa; Arthropoda; Insecta; Hymenoptera; Ichneumonidae
Description: partial large subunit ribosomal RNA
Rfam family: Archaeal large subunit ribosomal RNA
Source: RNAcentral